This is a long non-coding RNA of Anthonomus grandis grandis, 1780 nucleotides long. RefSeq lists it as uncharacterized. Lineage: Eukaryota; Metazoa; Arthropoda; Insecta; Coleoptera; Curculionidae. The record is from RefSeq and is a predicted model, not a curated record. The transcript has 5 exons.
AUUCGCCGCCGAUGUAGAUUUCACACUCAAAAUCCGGAUCCUGGUGGCAAGAUCCUUAAGGACUUGUGCAUCUGUAACCAAAGGCAUUUUGCUUCACUAAAGACUGAUUCCACCUAUACUGCCAAACACCACAUAAAGACUGAACAACGGCGACGCGGCUCUUUAUAUACUCGGCUGACCAUAGUUCCGGAAGAAUCCCUGAACCUCCACGUGUCUCCAAAAACGUCAUGCGGUGUGUCUGUUUAUGUCACCGCUAUAAUUCCAGAAUGAAUAGCUGGUAUUCGCGAGGGUGCCACUAUUGUCACAAUACGCUUGGAAAAAUAAGCAAAAAAAAAGCUGAACGUGGUGGAAAAACCACCAAAUCCGCACAAGCCGGCUGUGAACGAUUUGCAUGACAAGAAUUUCCCAGACAAUACUCCCAGAGAAAAAAAAAUUCAAAUAUUUGCCAAGGAUUGUUCCUAUUUAAUUUAAUAUUUAUUUUAUUUUUGCAAUUAAUAUACUAUUUUAAAUAUAUUAUUCUUCAGUUUUAGGCUGCUCCUACAUUGGAAGUGGAAUUUCUUUAGACUUGACGGUCUGAGCGGGUCUGAAUGGGUCUGACCGAGUCUGACGAAAAGAAACACACAUGCGCCGUAUUCCCUCCUACACUAGAGCCAGUUGUCGUGCCGGGAAGAAGCGACGGGUCUAAACUGGUCUGACAACAACCAAAAUAGUUUGUUUUUCUCCCAGUUGGUUCGUGUUUAAUGUUCCCAUUUGGCUCGUGUUUAUAAAUCAUAAUAAUUGUUGUUAUGAUGGUAGACAAAGGAAACUUGAUUGAGUUAGUACGUAAGAGAGUGGCUUGUGGGACCAGAGGGACAAAAAUUACCACAACCUCGAUUUAAGGGGAAAGCUGUGGGAUGAAGUUGUUAGAGAGCUUGGAAUUAAAGGAGAUAUGGCCCGCAAGAGUUAGGAGUUGCUGAGAGAUAUGUUACGCAAGAAAAUUAAGGAAAACUGUUGUGCGUCAAGUGCUGCUGCCAAGUCCAAGUGGGUUUAUUUUGAUUCAUUGAGCUUCUUGCUUCCUAUGAUGAAGCCAAGAGCUACUUCAGAAAAUCUUCCUGCGUCUCAAGUAGCAAAUACACUGAUGGACAUGGAAUUAGGUGAAAUUGAUGAAACUCAGAAAUCAGGCGAAACUCCUCGAUCACAACAUGACUUUGACGUCCACACUGAAGAUAAAAAUGUUGAUGAGCCUGAGGAACUUACACAAGUAAACAAAGCUCCACAACCUACUACCACCUCCUCGACAGAAGAGAGUAAGCCCCGGACCAAGGAGAAAGCAAAGCCAAAAUAUUCAAAACGAGACACUAAAGUUAGAAAGAAGAAAAGUGCAAUUGCUGGAAUCUCGUUUUUCGGUAUCACAACCCACUACUUCAGCAGACGAGGAUGACGACAUAUCAUUUUUCAAAAGUUUACUUCGUUUGCUCAAACAAUUACCACUCCUAAAACGAAUGAAAUUACGAUCAAAUAUUUUGAAUUGUGUCAUCGCUGAGCUUGAAUCACUAGAACCAAGCAACACACCAUGGACAUUGCCAUUGACAGUUUUACCUCACCCUCCACGAAAUUACACAGGAUACUACCCCAAUCAAUAGUAUGCAUCCAGUCCUUCGGAUACAUCAAGCUCUAUUCUUUCUCCAUGCCAACCAGAAAAUUCCGAACAAGCAGAAUCUCAAAAUAUCUCAAUUACCUUGCGAAACUUAAUUUAAUUUUUUUACAAUUUAAUUUGUUGAAAUAAAUAUGUUCUAACUUA